AGUGGGGAAUAUUGGACAAUGGGCGAAAGCCUGAUCCAGCAAUGCCGCGUGAGUGAUGAAGGCCCUAGGGUUGUAAAGCUCUUUUACCCGGGAAGAUAAUGACUGUACCGGGAGAAUAAGCCCCGGCUAACUCCGUGCCAGCAGCCGCGGUAAUACGGAGGGGGCUAGCGUUGUUCGGAAUUACUGGGCGUAAAGCGCACGUAGGCGGCUUUGUAAGUCAGAGGUGAAAGCCUGGAGCUCAACUCCAGAACUGCCUUUGAGACUGCAUCGCUUGAAUCCAGGAGAGGUCAGUGGAAUUCCGAGUGUAGAGGUGAAAUUCGUAGAUAUUCGGAAGAACACCAGUGGCGAAGGCGGCUGACUGGACUGGUAUUGACGCUGAGGUGCGAAAGCGUGGGGAGCAAA
Molecule: ribosomal RNA, 402 nt
Filed under: uncultured Sphingomonas sp.
Lineage: Bacteria; Pseudomonadati; Pseudomonadota; Alphaproteobacteria; Sphingomonadales; Sphingomonadaceae
Description: bacterial SSU rRNA
Rfam family: Bacterial small subunit ribosomal RNA
Source: RNAcentral